CCUACGGGUGGCAGCAGUAGGGAAUCUUGCACAAUGGGCGAAAGCCUGAUGGAGCAACGCCGCGUGCAGGAUGAAGGCCGUCGGGUUGGAAACGGCUUGUAUAAGGGAGAAAGAUGAUGGUAACUGAUGAAUAAGGACCGGCUAACUACGUGCCAGCAGCCGCGGUCACACGCAGGAGCCGAGCAUUAUCCGGAGUGACAGGGUGUGAAGAGUUGUGUCGGUGGUAUAAUAAGUAGCCAGUUGAAUCUGGUGGCUCAACCCUUCGGACUAUUAGCUAAACUGUUAAGCUCGAGACCGUUCGAGGUAACUGGAAUUUCUGGUGUAGCGGUGAAAUCCGUAGAUAUU
This 345-nucleotide ribosomal RNA is filed under the name uncultured bacterium. RNAcentral's name for it is "partial 16S ribosomal RNA". It matches the Rfam family "Bacterial small subunit ribosomal RNA", at positions 338 to 698 of the family's 1533-position model. The record is from RNAcentral.